Molecule: ribosomal RNA, 431 nt
Filed under: Coptotermes acinaciformis
Lineage: Eukaryota; Metazoa; Arthropoda; Insecta; Blattodea; Rhinotermitidae
Description: partial 16S ribosomal RNA
Source: RNAcentral
UUACGCUGUUAUCCCUAAGGUAAUUUAAUCUUAUAAUCAAAAUAAAUGGAUCACAUAAAUAUAAAUCAAUAUAACCAAAACCAAGAGGAGUUAAAUAAUUCCUCUCAUCACCCCAACAAAACAUAAAAGCCCACUCACCAACAAAAUAAACAAACAACCAACAAAUGAAUAAACCAAAUGUUAAACUCUAUAGGGUCUUCUCGUCCCAUAAAAACAUUUAAGAAUUUUAACUCAAAGACCAAAUUCAAUAAAAAUAUUCAACACUAAGACAGCUCAUGUCUCGUCAAGCCAUUCAUUCCAGAUCACAAUUAAAGAACUAAUGAUUAUGCUACCUUUGCACGGUCAAAAUACCGCGGCCCUUCAACUUAAACGUCAGCGGGCAGGCCAUACUUCAAAAACUAACAAGAAAAGAUGUUUUUGAUAAACAGGCG